CCAGCUUGCUGGGUGGAUUAGUGGCGAACGGGUGAGUAACACGUGAGUAACCUGCCCUUAACUCUGGGAUAAGCCUGGGAAACUGGGUCUAAUACCGGAUAGGAGCGCCUACCGCAUGGUGGGUGUUGGAAAGAUUUAUCGGUUUUGGAUGGACUCGCGGCCUAUCAGCUUGUUGGUGAGGUAAUGGCUCACCAAGGCGACGACGGGUAGCCGGCCUGAGAGGGUGACCGGCCACACUGGGACUGAGACACGGCCCAGACUCCUACGGGAGGCAGCAGUGGGGAAUAUUGCACAAUGGGCGCAAGCCUGAUGCAGCGACGCCGCGUGAGGGAUGACGGCCUUCGGGUUGUAAACCUCUUUCAGUAGGGAAGAAGCGAAAGUGACGGUACCUGCAGAAGAAGCACCGGCUAACUACGUGCCAGCAGCCGCGGUAAUACGUAGGGUGCGAGCGUUAUCCGGAAUUAUUGGGCGUAAAGAGCUCGUAGGCGGUUUGUCGCGUCUGUCGUGAAAGUCCGGGGCUUAACCCCGGAUCUGCGGUGG
Molecule: ribosomal RNA, 540 nt
Rfam family: Bacterial small subunit ribosomal RNA